CACGUAGGGGGCGAGCGUUUUCCGGAUUUACUGGGCGUAAAGGGCGCGUAGGCGGGUUCUCAAGUCGGGGGUGAAAUUCCGAGGCUCAACCUCGGAACUGCCUCCGAAACUGGGAGCCUAGAGGUACGGAGAGGGAAGUGGAAUUCCUGGUGUAGCGGUGAAAUGCGUAGAUAUCAGGAGGAACACCAGUGGCGAAGGCGGCUUCCUGGCCGUAUCCUGACGCUGAGGCGCGAAAGCUAGGGGAGCGAACGGG
Molecule: ribosomal RNA, 253 nt
Filed under: uncultured bacterium
Lineage: Bacteria
Description: partial 16S ribosomal RNA
Rfam family: Bacterial small subunit ribosomal RNA
Source: RNAcentral